GCUUACGGCCACACCGCCUGGUAUACGCUUGAUCUCGGAAGGUAAGGUAGGUUGGGCCUGGUUAGUACUUGGAUGGGAGACCGCCUGAGAAUACCAGGUGCUGUAAGCU
This 109-nucleotide ribosomal RNA is filed under the name Scophthalmus maximus (turbot). Lineage: Eukaryota; Metazoa; Chordata; Actinopteri; Pleuronectiformes; Scophthalmidae. The record is from RNAcentral.